UACGGAGGGUGCAAGCGUUAUCCGGAUUCACUGGGUUUAAAGGGUGCGUAGGCGGGCAGGUAAGUCCGUGGUGAAAUCUCUGAGCUUAACUCAGAAACUGCCAUGGAUACUAUUUGUCUUGAAUAUUGUGGAGGUGAGCGGAAUAUGUCAUGUAGCGGUGAAAUGCUUAGAUAUGACAUAGAACACCCAUUGCGAAGGCAGCUCGCUAAACUGUAACUGACGCUGAGGCACGAAAGCGUGGGGAUCAAACAGG
Molecule: ribosomal RNA, 253 nt
Filed under: uncultured bacterium
Lineage: Bacteria
Description: partial 16S ribosomal RNA
Rfam family: Bacterial small subunit ribosomal RNA
Source: RNAcentral